This 22-nucleotide non-coding RNA is filed under the name Arabidopsis thaliana (thale cress). The record is from RNAcentral. Lineage: Eukaryota; Viridiplantae; Streptophyta; Magnoliopsida; Brassicales; Brassicaceae.
UGAGUUGAGUUGAGUUGGCCCA